Molecule: ribosomal RNA, 420 nt
Filed under: uncultured bacterium
Lineage: Bacteria
Description: bacterial SSU rRNA
Rfam family: Bacterial small subunit ribosomal RNA
Source: RNAcentral
UGGGGAAUCUUGCGCAAUGGGCGAAAGCCUGACGCAGCCAUGCCGCGUGAAUGAUGAAGGUCUUAGGAUUGUAAAAUUCUUUCACCGGGGACGAUAAUGACGGUACCCGGAGAAGAAGCCCCGGCUAACUUCGUGCCAGCAGCCGCGGUAAUACGAAGGGGGCUAGCGUUGCUCGGAAUUACUGGGCGUAAAGGGCGCGUAGGCGGAUCGUUAAGUCAGAGGUGAAAUCCCGGAGCUCAACUUCGGAACUGCCUUUGAUACUGGCGAUCUUGAGUGUGAGAGAGGUAUGUGGAACUCCGAGUGUAGAGGUGAAAUUCGUAGAUAUUCGGAAGAACACCAGUGGCGAAGGCGACAUACUGGCUCAUUACUGACGCUGAGGCGCGAAAGCGUGGGGAGCAAACAGGAUUAGAUACCCUGGUA